GGGCCGGUAGCUCAGCCUGGUAGAGCACUUGAAUAAGUGAUUUGGUGAAACUUUUAUCAGGUAAGUUGAAAAAAGAGCCUACUGUAAAGCAAUCAAGUGGUCGCGAGUUCGAAUCUCGUCCGGCCCA
Molecule: transfer RNA, 127 nt
Filed under: Candidatus Woesearchaeota archaeon
Lineage: Archaea; Nanobdellati; Candidatus Woesearchaeota
Description: tRNA-OTHER
Rfam family: tRNA
About the family: Transfer RNA (tRNA) molecules are approximately 80 nucleotides in length.
Source: RNAcentral